CCUGAGUACGACGGAGCACGUGAAAUUCCGUCGGAAUCUGGGAGGACCAUCUCCUAAGGCUAAAUACUCUCUAGUGACCGAUAGUGAACCAGUACCGUGAGGGAAAGGUGAAAAGUACCCCGGAAGGGGAGUGAAAGAGAACUUGAAACCGUGUGCUUACAAGUAGUCAGAGCCCGUUAAUGGGUGAUGGCGUGCCUUUUGUAGAAUGAACCGGCGAGUUACGAUCUGAUGCAAGGUUAAGCAGAAAAUGUGGAGCCGUAGCGAAAGCGAGUCUGAAUAGGGCGAAUGAGUAUUUGGUCGUAGACCCGAAACCAGGUGAUCUACCCUUGGUCAGGUUGAAGUUCAGGUAACACUGAAUGGAGGACCGAACCGACUUACGUUGAAAAGUGAGCGGAUGAACUGAGGGUAGCGGAGAAAUUCCAAUCGAACUUGGAGAUAGCUGGUUCUCUCCGAAAUAGCUUUAGGGCUAGCCUCAAGUGAUGAUUAUUGGAGGUAGAGCACUGUUUGGACGAGGGGCCCCUCUCGGGUUACCGAAUUCAGACAAACUCCGAAUGCCAAAUAAUUUAACUUGGGAGUCAGAAUGUGGGUGAUAAGGUCCAUAUUCGAAAGGGAAACAGCCCAGACCACCAGCUAAGGUCCCAAAAUAUAUGUUAAGUGGAAAAGGAUGUGGCGUUGCCCAGACAACUAGGAUGUUGGCUUAGAAGCAGCCAUCAUUUAAAGAGUGCGUAAUAGCUCACUAGUCGAGUGACACUGCGCCGAAAAUGUACCGGGGCUAAACAUAUUACCGAAGCUGUGGAUUGUCCUUUGGACAAUGGUAGGAGAGCGUUCUAAGGGCGUUGAAGCAUGAUCGCAAGGACAUGUGGAGCGCUUAGAAGUGAGAAUGCCGGUGUGAGUAGCGAAAGACGGGUGAGAAUCCCGUCCACCGAUUGACUAAGGUUUCCAGAGGAAGGCUCGUCCGCUCUGGGUUAGUCGGGUCCUAAGCUGAGGCCGACAGGCGUAGGCGAUGGAUAACAGGUUGAUAUUCCUGUACCACCAUUAUUCGUUUUAAGCGAUGGGGGGACGCAGUAGGAUAGGCGAAGCGUGCUGUUGGAGUGCACGUCCAAGCAGUGAG
This 1111-nucleotide ribosomal RNA is filed under the name Staphylococcus pseudintermedius. RNAcentral describes it as "partial 23S ribosomal RNA". It matches the Rfam family "Bacterial large subunit ribosomal RNA", at positions 407 to 1523 of the family's 2925-position model. The record is from RNAcentral. Lineage: Bacteria; Bacillati; Bacillota; Bacilli; Caryophanales; Staphylococcaceae.